GGCGAAGUGGCCGAGUGGUUAAGGCGCUGUGUUUAGGCUUCGACUUCGAAACCUCAUAACAACCGCAGUGGGAAACCUCGCGCGUUCGAAUCGCGUCUUCGUCA
RNAcentral lists this transfer RNA (104 nucleotides) under Phaeoacremonium minimum UCRPA7. It matches the Rfam family "tRNA". Rfam says of the family: Transfer RNA (tRNA) molecules are approximately 80 nucleotides in length. Their secondary structure includes four short double-helical elements and three loops (D, anti-codon, and T loops). Further hydrogen bonds mediate the characteristic L-shaped molecular structure. tRNAs have two regions of fundamental functional importance: the anti-codon, which is responsible for specific mRNA codon recognition, and the 3' end, to which the tRNAs corresponding amino acid is attached (by aminoacyl-tRNA synthetases). tRNAs cope with the degeneracy of the genetic code in two manners: having more than one tRNA (with a specific anti-codon) for a particular amino acid; and 'wobble' base-pairing, i.e. permitting non-standard base-pairing at the 3rd anti-codon position. Lineage: Eukaryota; Fungi; Ascomycota; Sordariomycetes; Togniniales; Togniniaceae. The record is from Rfam by way of RNAcentral.